Molecule: non-coding RNA, 96 nt
Organism: Acanthosepion pharaonis
Lineage: Eukaryota; Metazoa; Mollusca; Cephalopoda; Sepiida; Sepiidae
Source: the annotation of a GenBank genome assembly
UUGAAACACCGGUUCUCAUACGAUCACCGAAGCUAAGCAACAUCAAGCCUGGUUAGUACUUAGAUGGGUAACCGCUAGAGAAUAAAAGCUGUUGUA